GCAUCGAUGAAGAACGCAGCGAAAUGCGAUACGUAAUGUGAAUUGCAGAAUUCCGUGAAUCAUCGAAUCUUUGAACGCACAUUGCGCCCUCUGGUAUUCCGGGGGGCAUGCCUGUUUGAGCGUCAUUUCCUUCUCAAACACAUUGUGUUUGGUAGUGAGUGAUACUCGUUUUUGAGUUAACUUGAAAUUGUAGGCCAUAUCAGUAUGUGGGACACGAGCGCAAGCUUCUCUAUUAAUCUGCUGCUCGUUUGCGCGAGCGGCGGGGGUUAAUACUGUAUUAGGUUUUACCAACUCGGUGUUGAUCUAGGGAGGGAUAAGUGAGUGUUUUGUGCGUGCUGGGCAGACAGACGUCUUUAAGUUUGACCUCAAAUCAGGUAGGGUUACCCGCUGAACUUAAGCAUAUCAAUAAGCGGAGGA
This 417-nucleotide ribosomal RNA is filed under the name Nakaseomyces glabratus. Its description in RNAcentral is "eukaryotic LSU rRNA". The stretch from base 1 to 125 matches the Rfam family "5.8S ribosomal RNA", at positions 30 to 154 of the family's 154-position model. Lineage: Eukaryota; Fungi; Ascomycota; Saccharomycetes; Saccharomycetales; Saccharomycetaceae. The record is from RNAcentral.